UACGAAGGGGGCGAGCGUUGUUCGGAUUUACUGGGCGUAAAGGGCGCGCAGGCGGUCUUGAAAGUCAGGCGUGAAAGCCCCGGGCUUAACCUGGGAAUUGCGCUUGAUACUCUGAGACUGGAGUACGGGAGAGGAGAGUGGAGUUCCCAGUGUAGAGGUGAAAUUCGUAGAUAUUGGGAAGAACACCAGUGGCGAAGGCGGCUCUCUGGACCGUAGCUGACGCUGAGGCGCGAAAGCGUGGGGAGCGAACAGG
This 253-nucleotide ribosomal RNA is filed under the name uncultured bacterium. RNAcentral describes it as "partial 16S ribosomal RNA". It matches the Rfam family "Bacterial small subunit ribosomal RNA", at positions 524 to 776 of the family's 1533-position model. The record is from RNAcentral.